UGGGGAAUAUUGGACAAUUGGGGGAACCCUGAUCCAGCCCUGCCGCGUGUGUGAAGAAGGCUUUAUGGUUGUAAAGCACUUUUAGCGAGGAGGAGACUACUGUGAGUAAUACUCUUGGAUAGUGGACGUUACUCGCAGAAUAAGCACCGGCUAACUCUGUGCCAGCAGCCGCGGUAAUACAGAGGGUGCGAGCGUUAAUCGGAUUUACUGGGCGUAAAGCGUGCGUAGGCGGUUUUUUAAGUCGGAUGUGAAAUCCCCGAGCUUAACUUGGGAAUUGCAUUCGAUACUGGGAAGCUAGAGUAUGGGAGAGGAUGGUAGAAUUCCAGGUGUAGCGGUGAAAUGCGUAGAGAUCUGGAGGAAUACCGAUGGCGAAGGCAGCCAUCUGGCCUAAUACUGACGCUGAGGUACGAAAGCAUGGGGAGCAAACAGGAUUAGAUACCCUGGUAGUCCACGCCGUAAACGAUGUCUACUAGCCGUUGGGGCCUUUGAGGCUUUAGUGGCGCAGCUAACGCGAUAAGUAGACCGCCUG
Molecule: ribosomal RNA, 529 nt
Filed under: Acinetobacter sp. enrichment culture
Lineage: Bacteria; Pseudomonadati; Pseudomonadota; Gammaproteobacteria; Moraxellales; Moraxellaceae
Description: bacterial SSU rRNA
Rfam family: Bacterial small subunit ribosomal RNA
Source: RNAcentral